RNAcentral lists this long non-coding RNA (238 nucleotides) under Lathyrus oleraceus (garden pea). RNAcentral describes it as "Pisum sativum (pea) long non-coding RNA (PSAT_LNC028953)". Lineage: Eukaryota; Viridiplantae; Streptophyta; Magnoliopsida; Fabales; Fabaceae. The record is from RNAcentral.
GCUGGGCUUACAUCGGACUCCAAACACACACACAAAGCAGAAGAGUUGAAAAAGAAAAGGGUUGAACACACAGACUAGAAGGGAGUCGGGAACUCGGACCUAAUAGCUGUCAAGCAAAACACACACACACAAAAAGAAAAAGGGCGCCCGGAGAGAUCUCGCACGAUCUCCUGCCUACGUACCUCAUCUGGUAUGAGGAUCAGGGCGACGUAGUUCCCCUGAACAGGGGAAAAAUUUC